Molecule: ribosomal RNA, 1372 nt
Filed under: uncultured bacterium
Lineage: Bacteria
Description: 16S ribosomal RNA
Rfam family: Bacterial small subunit ribosomal RNA
Source: RNAcentral
AGUUUGAUCCUGGCUCAGGACGAACGCUGGCGGCGUGCCUAACACAUGCAAGUCGAACGGAGUUAUUUCUUCGGAGAUAACUUAGUGGCGAACGGGUGAGUAACGCGUGAGAAACCUGCCUUUCAGUGGGGGACAACAGUUGGAAACGACUGCUAAUACCGCAUAAUGUCAAUUGGGGGCAUCCUCGAAUGACCAAAGAUUUAUUGCUGAAAGAUGGUCUCGCGUCUGAUUAGCUAGUUGGUGAGGUAACGGCUCACCAAGGCGACGAUCAGUAGCCGGUCUGAGAGGAUGAACGGCCACAUUGGGACUGAGAUACGGCCCAGACUCCUACGGGAGGCAGCAGUGGGGAAUAUUGGGCAAUGGGGGAGACCCUGACCCAGCAACGCCGCGUGAAGGAAGAAGGCCUUCGGGUUGUAAACUUCUUUUACCAGGGACGAAGAACGUGACGGUACCUGGAGAAAAAGCAACGGCUAACUACGUGCCAGCAGCCGCGGUAAUACGUAGGUUGCAAGCGUUGUCCGGAUUUACUGGGUGUAAAGGGCGUGUAGGCGGAGAUGCAAGUUGGGAGUGAAAUCCCGGGGCUCAACCCCGGAACUGCUUUCAAAACUGCAUCCCUUGAGUAUCGGAGAGGCAAGCGGAAUUCCCAGUGUAGCGGUGAAAUGCGUAGAUAUUAGGAGGAACACCAGUGGCGAAGGCGGCUUGCUGGACGACAACUGACGCUGAGGCGCGAAAGCGUGGGGAGCAAACAGGAUUAGAUACCCUGGUAGUCCACGCUGUAAACGAUGGAUACUAGGUGUAGGAGGUAUCGACCCCUUCUGUGCCGGAGUUAACACAAUAAGUAUCCCACCUGGGGAGUACGGUCGCAAGACUGAAACUCAAAGGAAUUGACGGGGGCCCGCACAAGCAGUGGAGUAUGUGGUUUAAUUCGAAGCAACGCGAAGAACCUUACCAGAACUUGACAUCCCCGGAAUCCUGCUGAGAAGCAGGAGUGCCUUCGGGAAUCGGGUGACAGGUGGUGCAUGGUUGUCGUCAGCUCGUGUCGUGAGAUGUUGGGUUAAGUCCCGCAACGAGCGCAACCCUUGUUGUUAGUUGCCAUCAUUUAGUUGGGCACUCUAACGAGACUGCCGGCGAUAAGUCGGAGGAAGGUGGGGAUGACGUCAAAUCAUCAUGCCCCUUAUGUUCUGGGCUACACACGUACUACAAUGGCUGAAAACAGAGGGAAGCGAAGUCGUGAGGCCAAGCAAAUCCCGAAAAACAGUCCCAGUUCAGAUUGCAGGCUGAAACCCGCCUGCAUGAAGGUGGAAUUGCUAGUAAUCGCGAAUCAGAAUGUCGCGGUGAAUACGUUCCCGGGCCUUGUACUCACCGCCCGUCA